GAUGAACGCUAGCUACAGGCUUAACACAUGCAAGUCGAGGGGCAGCAUGGUCUUAGCUUGCUAAGGCCGAUGGCGACCGGCGCACGGGUGAGUAACACGUAUCCAACCUGCCGUCUACUCUUGGACAGCCUUCUGAAAGGAAGAUUAAUACAAGAUGGCAUCAUGAGUCCACAUGUUCACAUGAUUAAAGGUAUUCCGGUAGACGAUGGGGAUGCGUUCCAUUAGAUAGUAGGCGGGGUAAUGGCCCACCUAGUCUUCGAUGGAUAGGGGUUCUAAGAGGAAGGUCCCCCACAUUGGAACUGAGACACGGUCCAAACUCCUACGGGAGGCAGCAGUGAGGAAUAUUGGUCAAUGGGCGAGAGCCUGAACCAGCCAAGUAGCGUGAAGGAUGACUGCCCUAUGGGUUGUAAACUUCUUUUAUAAAGGAAUAAAGUCGGGUAUGCAUACCCGUUUGCAUGUACUUUAUGAAUAAGGAUCGGCUAACUCCGUGCCAGCAGCCGCGGUAAUACGGAGGAUCCGAGCGUUAUCCGGAUUUAUUGGGUUUAAAGGGAGCGUAGAUGGAUGUUUAAGUCAGUUGUGAAAGUUUGCGGCUCAACCGUAAAAUUGCAGUUGAUACUGGAUAUCUUGAGUGCAGUUGAGGCAGGCGGAAUUCGUGGUGUAGCGGUGAAAUGCUUAGAUAUCACGAAGAACUCCGAUUGCGAAGGCAGCCUGCUAAGCUGCAACUGACAUUGAGGCUCGAAAGUGUGGGUAUCAAACAGGAUUAGAUACCCUGGUAGUCCACACGGUAAACGAUGAAUACUCGCUGUUUGCGAUAUACAGCAAGCGGCCAAGCGAAAGCGUUAAGUAUUCCACCUGGGGAGUACGCCGGCAACGGUGAAACUCAAAGGAAUUGACGGGGGCCCGCACAAGCGGAGGAACAUGUGGUUUAAUUCGAUGAUACGCGAGGAACCUUACCCGGGCUUAAAUUGCAGAUGAAUUACGGUGAAAGCCGUAAGCCGCAAGGCAUCUGUGAAGGUGCUGCAUGGUUGUCGUCAGCUCGUGCCGUGAGGUGUCGGCUUAAGUGCCAUAACGAGCGCAACCCUUGUUGUCAGUUACUAACAGGUUCCGCUGAGGACUCUGACAAGACUGCCAUCGUAAGAUGUGAGGAAGGUGGGGAUGACGUCAAAUCAGCACGGCCCUUACGUCCGGGGCUACACACGUGUUACAAUGGGGGGUACAGAGGGCCGCUACCACGCGAGUGGAUGCCAAUCCCAAAAACCUCUCUCAGUUCGGACUGGAGUCUGCAACCCGACUCCACGAAGCUGGAUUCGCUAGUAAUCGCGCAUCAGCCACGGCGCGGUGAAUACGUUCCCGGGCCU
RNAcentral lists this ribosomal RNA (1358 nucleotides) under uncultured bacterium. RNAcentral's name for it is "bacterial SSU rRNA". It matches the Rfam family "Bacterial small subunit ribosomal RNA", at positions 28 to 1381 of the family's 1533-position model. The record is from RNAcentral.